Felis catus (domestic cat) is the source of this 2271-nucleotide RNA transcript. It is a transcript of the gene named PDZ domain containing 9, with no coding region annotated. The record is from RefSeq and is a predicted model, not a curated record. Lineage: Eukaryota; Metazoa; Chordata; Mammalia; Carnivora; Felidae. The transcript has 6 exons.
CCCCCGGUCGCCAGCGGCCAGCCUGCUGUGCACCCCCUCCUCGCGGGUUCGAAACAGUUGGGAGUUGGACCCACUCCAGCUUCGGCUCCAGGAGGCGCCUCCUGAGCGGUCUGCCCUCCUGGGGCCAUGGAGAAGGCCGCCCAUAAAAGCAAAAAAGGCAAAAACGUUGGCUUCAAUGUCAAGUCAUCCAUACACAACUUGAGCAAAACUCAGCAGACCAAACUCACUGUGGGCAACCUGGGCCUAGGCCUGAUCAUCAUCCAGAAUGGGCCCUACCUCCAGAUCACCCACCUCAUCAGGACGGGGGCUGCAGCCACGGAUGGAAAACUCCAGCCAGGUGAUGUUCUGAUUAGUGUUGGCCAUGCCAAUGUGUUAGGAUAUACUCUUCGAGAAUUUUUAAAACUUUUGCAACACAUCACCAUAGGAACAGUGCUACAAAUCAAGAUUUACCGAGAUUUUAUUGACAUACCCCAAGAAUGGCAAGAAAUAUAUGAUUUAAUCCCUGAGACCAAAUUCCCGGUAACACGCACAACAAAGAAAACUGAGCAGGCAAAAGACCCUUUGGCAAGCAGUGAUGACAGUGAAGAUGUAGUUUCAAUUAAAAAACUUAAGUAUUAUAAAUAUUCAAGGUCCAGUGGGCAUUACUCUGCAAGGAGACCAAUGUCUAUCUCCAGAGAAUGGCAUGGCUACAAAAAGAAGAACCGUACUAUUAGUGUAGGAAAAGGCAUUAAUGCUGAUGUGGUGAUUCACAAAGAUCCCAAGAGAGAAGUGAGGCCCCCUUCUCCAUACUGGACAAUGGUGAAGCGAGACAACCAAAGCUCUUCCUCAUCCACAGCCUCCUCUACCUCAGAUGCAUUUUGGCUAGAAGACUUUGCCCAAGUUGAAAAGGGCAGGGGUCAACCUGUAUCAAAAGUUGCUUAGGCAGCAGUCUGCAAACUGGUGAUCACAUGAGCAUCUAAUUUUUGUGCAUUGCUAUGCACAGGUUUGCUAUACUUACAGGAGGAAUAUGUGCAGACUUACCCAUUCUUUCACAAGUGCAUUCUGAUGCCGUCAGAGACAUUCUUCAAUGUGAUAAUCCAAAGACUUCCCUGGGGUCAGACAGGUCUCACCACCUUAUUCUCAAAAUAGCAACAUCAUUAACACACUCCCUUCUGAGAAGAACAUCUCAUCUUUUACAAAAUGUGGCAGAGGAACCCAGGACCAGAAUGUAUGAACAUAGAGAGAAUUUCAAUUUUUAAAGUGGAGCUGUUGGGGAGAAGAUGGUGGAGACCUCUACAAUGCAAGAGGAGUCGACAUUUUUCAUGUGGAAAAAACUGGGAAAACCCACUGAUUGUGGAUUUGUUCUGUAGUUCAUAUAUUUGUUAGGCAUAGUAGAGAGUACAAAAAGGUAUAAGAUACCGUCCUGGCCCUUAAAACAAUUCAGUCUCACAAUAAUAUAUGUGAAAAAAAAAAAAAAAAAAGCAAUAGCAGAAUGUCUCCUGAGAAGAUGAACAAAAAUCCUGAGAUCCUGGAUCGUGCGGGACUGGCACGACAGUUUAUUUCUUGGAAGGAGAACAAACACCGAACUCAAUUAGUAGGUUGAAUCACAUGAAAUUACCAAUAAUUCAACUCUUCUUGACCUCUAAGAAUUUAAAAUGGUUUAACCUAUUGGUAAUUUAGUUGAAUGAGGAAGAUACAUACACCCCAAGUUGAUGAGCCAUUUACAGACGUGAUGGUAAUGAGCCCUCCUACCUCCACACCAGGUGGACAGGCACCAAACAGCAGGACAGUGACAUAUAUAGCCCAAGGGAACUUAUGCAUUCCUUCUGAAAUUGGGUCGAGGUCAAAUUGUUUGAUGUUAAACCAUAAGUUUUCAUUUGCUUACAUUUACAACAUCUGUGUCUGCUACGGAGUCAAUCUGCUGAAGGACUGUGGCUGGUGGUGUGUAUGAACCAGCAACCAGAGCCUGGGACCCGACUUCAUCCAGGAACUCCUCAGAAGACUCCACUGACAUUAGGUAGCCAGCUUUCAGCUUGUUCCUGUCCAGUAAAAAAUAUGUAACUAAGCAGAAGCCAGUCUUAUAAGAGCGAGACAAUUUUAAACUCAAACUCAAACAUGUUUUGAAAGACUAAGAACCUUACAAGAAAAAUAUCAACUGUAUCAAAAUGGCAGAAAACAAACACAUUGACAUUAAAAACUGAAAUUCCAUUUUCUACAUGUUGCUGUACCUUAUAAAAACUGUGGGGCACUUAAGGAAAUACAUUUUCUGAAAUAAAUUAGAUUUGAAAUCAA